RNAcentral lists this ribosomal RNA (252 nucleotides) under uncultured bacterium. Its description in RNAcentral is "partial 16S ribosomal RNA". It matches the Rfam family "Bacterial small subunit ribosomal RNA", at positions 524 to 776 of the family's 1533-position model. The record is from RNAcentral.
UACGGAGGAUGCGAGCGUUAUCCGGAUUUAUUGGGUUUAAAGGGUGCGCAGGCGGAUUUUUAAGUCAGCGGUCAAAUCGUGGGGCUCAACCCCAUCCAGCCGUUGAAACUGGGGAUCUAGAGUGUGCGAGAGGUAUGCGGAAUGCGUGGUGUAGCGGUGAAAUGCAUAGAUAUCACGCAGAACCCCGAUUGCGAAGGCAGCAUACCGGUGCACAACUGACGCUGAGGCACGAAAGCGUGGGUAUCGAACAGG